Molecule: long non-coding RNA, 403 nt
Filed under: Homo sapiens (human)
Lineage: Eukaryota; Metazoa; Chordata; Mammalia; Primates; Hominidae
Description: HSALNT0331061
Source: RNAcentral
GAGCAGCUCACAGAGGGACUCUGCCUGGUCUACAAAGUCAGCAAAGGAGUCCAUUCCUUGGCAUUUCCAGGGGCUAGCACUGCAGAGUCGAGGAUGACACUUUUUAUUCUAAAGAGGCCCACGUGAGAAGUAGCCACAACUUGUUUGCCCUCUAAGGAGCCAGAGGAAGUCUUGUCCGGGACUGAGGGCUUGGCCAGAGCCAGUCCCUGCGAACUGCCCGGCGCGUCCUGCCUUGCCAGACCCUCUGCCCGGGGUCAUCCGCAGCCCGCGGGCGCCAUCGGCUCCAGGCACACAUCACCCGUGCUGGAACCCCAGCGUGUGGAGACCGGAGGCCAAAGAAACGAAACUCCCCACGCUGCGCCGUGGAGAAUAAUCACUGCCUUUUCAGAGGCCGACUUCGCCC